UACGAAGGGGGCUAGCGUUGUUCGGAAUUACUGGGCGUAAAGCGCACGUAGGCGGAUAUUUAAGUCAGGGGUGAAAUCCCAGAGCUCAACUCUGGAACUGCCUUUGAUACUGGGUAUCUCGAGUAUGGAAGAGGUGAGUGGAAUUCCGAGUGUAGAGGUGAAAUUCGUAGAUAUUCGCAAGAACACCAGUGGCGAAGGCGGCUCACUGGCCCGGUACUGACGCUGAGAUGCGAAAGCGUGGGGAGCAAACAGG
RNAcentral lists this ribosomal RNA (253 nucleotides) under uncultured bacterium. Its description in RNAcentral is "partial 16S ribosomal RNA". It matches the Rfam family "Bacterial small subunit ribosomal RNA", at positions 524 to 776 of the family's 1533-position model. The record is from RNAcentral.